UAGGGAAUCUUCCACAAUGGGCGAGAGCCUGAUGGAGCAACGCCGCGUGUGUGAUGGAGGGUUUCGGCUCGUAAAACACUGUUGUAAGAGAAGAAUGACAUUGAGAGUAACUGUUCAAUGUGUGACGGUAUCUUACCAGAAAGGAACGGCUAAAUACGUGCCAC
This 164-nucleotide ribosomal RNA is filed under the name uncultured bacterium. RNAcentral's name for it is "partial 16S rRNA". It matches the Rfam family "Bacterial small subunit ribosomal RNA", at positions 355 to 511 of the family's 1533-position model. The record is from RNAcentral.